This is a long non-coding RNA of Thunnus maccoyii (southern bluefin tuna), 2271 nucleotides long. RefSeq lists it as uncharacterized. The transcript is spliced from 3 exons. The record is from RefSeq and is a predicted model, not a curated record. NCBI's taxonomy places the organism in Eukaryota, Metazoa, Chordata, Actinopteri, Scombriformes, Scombridae.
GAUUGGUGGUAAUGACCUGAUGGUGGAUGGUUUCCAUGAAACAUCCUUGUCGUCAACAUCCACCAGUACCAGAGGGACAGGGCUCAGCCUCUGCAGUGUCACUGAUGUUCUCACUGCGGGAUGUCUCUGAGACCACCAUGUUCGCGAUCUGGUCUGCCUCAUUCUCCAUGUCUUGAUCCAGAGGGCUAUGUUUGACUGUAUUCUGCUGGAGAAAAACACAAGGGAAAAUUGCAGUAGCAAUAGAUUUUCAGUCAUUCAUCUGUACACAGCUGCCAACACCAGAUGACUUGUGCUUCACUCAAGCAUCAGGUGAGUAACAACAACCCCAAAACAUUGCCACUGUCUUCUCAUAUUCUCCAGCAAACCAUACUAACUGAUUUCCCUAUAUGAAUGUGCUUUUAACUGGCAUAUGUGUAUCUUUAAAUUGCAUUCAUUACUAUUAUUACUAUCAAUGACCACUAAUUCGGUUAUGGCGGAAAGCAAAAUGGCCACCACAAAGUGUUUUUGCAAUGGCUCCAUUUCUGAAAAUGUUCAGGGCCCCAAAUUGUACAAGUGUGCCAAGUUUCAUGCUUUUAUGAAAAAGUGAACAUAAUUUUCACAUAUCACCUGGACUGUUGCUGGUAAUAACAAACAGUUUUUAAAGAAAGAAAAGUCUCUGUGGUGUUCGGUGCAACAACUCCCAUCACUUGCAUGCAGAGGACACUUCGACAUGCAGACUGGAGGAGCUUGGAAUCAAACCGCCAAUGGACAACCCGCUCUACCUCCUGAGCCACAGCCACCCAAAACUAUUUCAUACCCUCCAGUGGUGGAGAAAUAUACAGAACUUUUACUUUAGUAAAAGUAGCAAUACCACACAACAAAAUUAAAAUUCCUGCAUUUGAAAUGUAAUUUUAAUUAAAAGAUAGGUUCAUAAUUUUUCAAGUUUGUCUUUAAACUAUGAGCCCAUAUGAAGAUUAAAAGUUCCUUCCUUUUUCCUUUAAUCAUUUGCAAAACCAUGACUUUAGUCUCGUUAUAUUUUGUUUUUAUGGGGAGAAAAAUCAAAUUCAUCUUGUGAUAUUCAGAUUUUUCUUUUAAAAUUACAGUUUGAGAGUUAAACUUGUCUUGUGCAAUUCUUCUAGUCUGGUCUGUAUUAAAACAACAAUCAUGAGCCUAAAUGAACAGUGAAAUGUGUUUUUCUUGUUGUAAUCAUUCCUCCUGUUCAAGAUUCCUUCAUAAAGCACUUAAAUGUAAGUAAUGAAGGACAAAAUCCAGCCAUCAUUCUGUGUGAAGACAUAUUCAAAAGUUUAUAUGAAGCUAAUAUGUGCAGCAGACUAAAUUAGUCAAAUUAAGUGGCUAUCUUCAAAAAACCCAAUCACCAGAAUAAAACGUUGGCAUUGUACAUUUCUGCAAACCACAGAUAUGCUGAAUCUCUACAUUUCAAUGUUUUAAGCUUUUUGUGUGUCAUUUAACACACUAAAUGGCCAUUAUCAUUUGAAUAAUCAUGUUUUAUGUUGUGAAAACACUGUAGUUCAGGUCUGGUUUAAUUUCAGGCAGGUCUGGUAACCGCUUGGUUAGGGUUAGGAAAAGAGAAAAAUGGCUGCAAAUGUCCCAACAUCUUGCUAAAAAUAUCAGUUGAAACAGGAAGUGAGCAGUGGUCUCGAACAGUGGUCUCUGCUGCUUUGAUGCUUUUGCAACUUUGUGCUAUGCAAUUAGCCAAGUGCCCAACCCACGUCCUCCUAACAUGGAAGCCAGCUUAUAUAGAUGUCAUCUGAACUAUGUCACUUUCCCUAUGAUACGUAUUGUAGAAAUGUUGAUAUGCUACGUAUUAAAUGUAUUGAAAUGUAGAGAUUCAAUGUGUCUGUGGUUUGCAGAAACAUACAAUGCCAACAUUUAUUCUGGUGACUGAGCUGCUUUAAGUUUUUAAGUUGUUUUUUUUGAUGUACAAUUCCCUCUUCUGUUGUUUUAAGACAGACUUGAAAAACUUGGAACCUAUCCUUAAAAGUACAAAAGUAUUAAAAGUACUCAUUAUGCAGAACGGCCUGGUCAGUGUAUAUCAUUGGAUCCUAACUAAUCUGUUUUAGAUGGUUGAUGUGGAGCUAAGUUUUACUGCUUUAUAUACUGUUGCGUGGUUUAAUCAAUACCUGUGCAUCAUAUUUGAUAAACUGAUUGUAUGUUUUAUGUAUAACAUCUUGAUCUGAAAGAAACAAGUAACCUUAGCUUUCCAAUAAACACAGUGACAGAAACAGUGACAGCACAAUAACAUAAUUUGAAAUGUAGUGGAGUAGAAGUGUG